This 253-nucleotide ribosomal RNA is filed under the name uncultured bacterium. RNAcentral describes it as "partial 16S ribosomal RNA". It matches the Rfam family "Bacterial small subunit ribosomal RNA", at positions 524 to 776 of the family's 1533-position model. The record is from RNAcentral.
UACGUAGGGUGCAAGCGUUGUCCGGAAUUAUUGGGCGUAAAGAGCUCGUAGGCGGUCUGUCACGUCGGCUGUGAAAACUCGGGGCUCAACCCCGAGCCUGCAGUCGAUACGGGCAGACUAGAGUGCGGUAGGGGAGACUGGAAUUCCUGGUGUAGCGGUGAAAUGCGCAGAUAUCAGGAGGAACACCGGUGGCGAAGGCGGGUCUCUGGGCCGUAACUGACGCUGAGGAGCGAAAGCGUGGGGAGCAAACAGG